RNAcentral lists this ribosomal RNA (216 nucleotides) under Glomeromycotina sp. RNAcentral describes it as "partial small subunit ribosomal RNA". The stretch from base 75 to 216 matches the Rfam family "Eukaryotic small subunit ribosomal RNA", at positions 721 to 864 of the family's 1831-position model. Lineage: Eukaryota; Fungi; Glomeromycota. The record is from RNAcentral.
GGGUCAGUAGGUUGGUCGUGCCACCGGUACGUACUGGUCUCACUGAUUCCUCCUCCCUGAAGAACCGUAAUGCCAUUAAUUUGGUGUUGCGGGGAAACAGGACUGUUACUUUGAAAAAAUUAGAGCGUUUAAAGCAAGCUAACGCUUGAAUACAUUAGCAUGGAAUAAUGAAAUAGGGCGAUCGAUCCUAUUUUGUUGGUUUCUAGGAUUGACGUA